This 252-nucleotide long non-coding RNA is filed under the name Olea europaea (common olive). RNAcentral describes it as "long non-coding RNA (OEUR_LNC015032)". Lineage: Eukaryota; Viridiplantae; Streptophyta; Magnoliopsida; Lamiales; Oleaceae. The record is from RNAcentral.
UCGGUGUUCAAUUUCAGUGGCGGGAGAGAAACUGAGAAAGAGCCAUAGGGUUUCAACUUUGCUUUAACCAUUUCACAAUGCAAGAUAUGGGCCUCAUUUAAAAUAAAUAAGAAGCCCAACACAAAAGACUUACAAGUUAACAUUUGGACUUUAGAAAAUGGAGGAAAUUAAAAGUUGGCCCAAUUAUAAUACUCAUCACCUUCCCUUCCUUUUGAAUUCAAGUCUGCGUUCAAGCUUCUGCAAUAAUGGCGG